UCAGAAUAACGGCCUGCGAGCGCGGAGC
This 28-nucleotide non-coding RNA is filed under the name Bombyx mori (domestic silkworm). The record is from RNAcentral. Lineage: Eukaryota; Metazoa; Arthropoda; Insecta; Lepidoptera; Bombycidae.